CACACACAGAGCAGAUGGCUGUACUUGAAUAAUAAAAGUUUAUUCUUCAUUUGUGAAGAGAAGGGCAGGAAACUAAACACGUGCCAUCUGUAUGACCAGCCCCUCCCAUCAUGUUCCAAAUUCCUGGGCUCUGCACGUCAUGGUAACUACCACUGGUUGAUCACAUCAUAAUUUUCUGCUAAGUCUAUUUAAAAAGUUACUCCUAGUUUAUUUCUCUUGGAUGAUUAUUUAUUGUCAAUCAGUUAAUACUGGAACAUGAGCCAUAACCUACUUUGCAUUUGUCUUUAAAUCAGCUACAUUCUCUCUAAUCUCAAAGGUACUACCACCUUCAUUAUGUCUAUCCUUCUAUAAAAUCAAACCAAAUCAGAAGAAUCACUCCUUUAAUUAGAACCUAUAUAUUUUGUAUGUUCACAUUUAACUUAUUUUAUAAGGACAUAUAAAACUUAAUGUAUUUUGGAUAAAAUGUCAGUUUUAUCCAAGAAGACUCAAAGGCCUAGUAUUUUAAAAUGACUUUUACAUUUUUUUCAAAACAACUCAGCUGAAUAUUCCGUGAGGCAACACUGACAUCCAAACUCUUUACCUUGGCAUAAAUCUACCAUAGUACAUUGUCUUUCUUUAUAAUUUCAAAGAACAGACAAAAAUUUUGUAGUUUUAAAAGUUUAUUCUAUAGAAGACAAAGCAUUAUUGCUCACUAUCAAUUAUUUUAUCCCAAAAUUUUGUUGAUUAUUCAUUAUUUAUUGAAUUCACACUACAAGUAUAUAUAAAACAAGAACCUUUCAAGUAGCAUAACAUAAACUUGAAAUAGUGUUUACUGACACCUUAAAAUCAUUUCUCUCCAGGAAAUGAAGACACAACAUGCAGAGAAGAAGAGGGACUAAUUCUUAUUUAGAGCCAAAAAUAAUGAGACAAAUUGAGAGCAGAGGAGAAUGUAGUGAUUAGUAUUUCAAGAAUUCAUAGAUCCAGCAAGGCCCAUAUUGGGUAUUAAAAUAAAACAAAAUAAAUCACAUACAUGCACUCAUAGAAGCUAGUCUGUAUUGGUUUUCUGAUUUACCAGACAAAGUUCCCAGAUAAUCUGGAAAGCUUACUUAGAAAAUGAGACAGUUUUAAUGUGGAAGGAGUAGAUAUUUUCUUUAACAUAUAUUAGAAAGAAUGAGUUUAGUUUAGGAGGGGUUUAUUCUGUUUCUGGUCUUAAUCGUUCUUUUUGACUGCUACUG
This 1214-nucleotide long non-coding RNA is filed under the name Heterocephalus glaber (naked mole-rat). RNAcentral describes it as "lncRNA (ENSHGLG00000033467.1)". The record is from RNAcentral. Lineage: Eukaryota; Metazoa; Chordata; Mammalia; Rodentia; Bathyergidae.